RNAcentral lists this ribosomal RNA (425 nucleotides) under uncultured bacterium. RNAcentral's name for it is "partial 16S ribosomal RNA". It matches the Rfam family "Bacterial small subunit ribosomal RNA", at positions 354 to 796 of the family's 1533-position model. The record is from RNAcentral.
GUGGGGAAUCUUGCGCAAUGGGCGAAAGCCUGACGCAGCCAUGCCGCGUGAAUGAUGAAGGUCUUAGGAUUGUAAAAUUCUUUCACCGGGGACGAUAAUGACGGUACCCGGAGAAGAAGCUCCGGCUAACUUCGUGCCAGCAGCCGCGGUAAUACGAAGGGGGCUAGCGUUGCUCGGAAUUACUGGGCGUAAAGGGCGCGUAGGCGGACAGCUUAGUCAGAGGUGAAAGCCCAGGGCUCAACCUUGGAAUUGCCUUUGAUACUGGCUGUCUUGAGUUUGGGAGAGGUGAGUGGAACUCCGAGUGUAGAGGUGAAAUUCGUAGAUAUUCGGAAGAACACCAGUGGCGAAGGCGACUCACUGGCCCAAUACUGACGCUGAGGCGCGAAAGCGUGGGGAGCAAACAGGAUUAGAUAGCCUUGUAGUCC